GAUGAACGCUGGCGGCGUGCCUAACACAUGCAAGUCGAGCGAUCUUCUUCGGAAGAGAGCGGCGGACGGGUGAGUAACGCGUGGGUAACCUGCCCUGUACACACGGAUAACAUACCGAAAGGUAUGCUAAUACGAGAUAAUAUACUUUUAUCGCAUGGUAGAAGUAUCAAAGCUUUGCGGUACAGGAUGGACCCGCGUCUGAUUAGCUAGUUGGUAAGGUAACGGCUUACCAAGGCGACGAUCAGUAGCCGACCUGAGAGGGUGAUCGGCCACAUUGGAACUGAGACACGGUCCAAACUCCUACGGGAGCAGCAGUGGGGAAUAUUGCACAAUGGGCGAAAGCCUGAUGCAGCAACGCCGCGUGAGCGAUGAAGGCC
Molecule: ribosomal RNA, 377 nt
Filed under: uncultured bacterium
Lineage: Bacteria
Description: bacterial SSU rRNA
Rfam family: Bacterial small subunit ribosomal RNA
Source: RNAcentral